ACAAGGUUUCCGUAGGUGAACCUGCGGAAGGAUCAUUAUCGAAUAAACUUGAACAGGCUGUUGCUGGCCCUUAGGGGUAUGUGCACGCUUGUCAUCUUUAUUUCUCCAACUGUGCACAUAUUGUAGACCUGGAGAUUUUUUUGUUGUUGAUAUUAGUUAUCGAGUUGGAACUGCGACUGCUACUGCUGUUGCUUUUCCUUGAAAUCCUUUCCAGGUCUAUGUACCUUUUUCACAAACCUAUGAAUCUGUUUAGAAUAACAAAGUUGAAUUUAAAUAUACAACUUUCAGCAACGGAUCUCUUGGCUCUCGCAUCGAUGAAGAACGCAGCGAAAUGCGAUAAGUAAUGUGAAUUGCAGAAUUCAGUGAAUCAUCGAAUCUUUGAACGCACCUUGCGCCCUUUGGUAUUCCGAAGGGCAUGCCUGUUUGAGUGUCAUUAAAUUAUCAACCUUGCUUGCUCUUACCGGCUUGAGCUGAGGCUUGGACGUGGGGGUUUUUGCUGGCUUCCUUCAGUGGAUGGUCUGCUCCCCUUAAAUUCAUUAGUGGGAUCUCUUGUGGACCGUCACUUGGUGUGAUAAUUAUCUAUGCCGUUUGACCUUGAGGCAAAUUUAUGGGACCCUGCUUAUAACCGUCUCUUACCGGGACAAUUUAAUAACAUCUUGACCUCAAAUCAGGUAGGACUACCCGCUGAACUUAAGCAUAUCAAUAAGCGGAGGAAAAGAAACUAACAAGGAUUCCCCUAGUAACUGCGAGUGAAGCGGGAAAAGCUCAAAUUUAAAAUCUGGCGGUCCUUGUGGCCGUCCGAGUUGUAAUUUAGAGAA
This 818-nucleotide unclassified non-coding RNA is filed under the name uncultured Mycena. RNAcentral's name for it is "sequence contains ITS1, 5.8S rRNA gene and ITS2". The stretch from base 280 to 433 matches the Rfam family "5.8S ribosomal RNA". Lineage: Eukaryota; Fungi; Basidiomycota; Agaricomycetes; Agaricales; Tricholomataceae. The record is from RNAcentral.